This 73-nucleotide transfer RNA is filed under the name Felis catus (domestic cat). It matches the Rfam family "tRNA". Rfam says of the family: Transfer RNA (tRNA) molecules are approximately 80 nucleotides in length. Their secondary structure includes four short double-helical elements and three loops (D, anti-codon, and T loops). The record is from Rfam by way of RNAcentral. Lineage: Eukaryota; Metazoa; Chordata; Mammalia; Carnivora; Felidae.
GCCUGUCUGGCUCAGUUGGUAGAGUAUGCAACUCUUGAUCUCAGAAUUGUGAAUUCGAACCUCACGUUGGGUG